AUGAUCUGCGCAUGUGCAACACGUGAGGCGGGGCUGAAGCCUGGAGCCUCAGUGUAUAUGCUCCUAGUGGGGGGAGGGGCUGUCUCAGUGUAUAUCCUUCGCUUUAAAGGCCCACAAAAAAGGAACAAACAUGGAAGUCUGAGCGGCUCUGACUGGAUCCGGGGCCAUAGCGGGACUUUGUUCCUCCCGCAGGGGAGAGAAGGGGCAGCUGGCCCCAGAGCCAGGAACCAGCUGUGGGAGGGGGUGCAUUCCCAGGAUGGGGGAGAUGCUAGUCCGGCUCCUGCCCCCGGGCGCACACAGAGGAAGUCUCUCCCCCUCGGGCUGCCACCCCCUGAAGGACCCCAGGGUGGCCCCGCAGAGAGCCCGCAGCCAGAGGAAUGGCCCCCGGGACCCCGAGUUCCCCCUCCCAGGCGUCAAUAGCAUUCAAGGAUGUGGCUGUGGACUUCACCCAGGAAGAGUGGUGCCUAUUGGCCCAUUCUCAGAAAGAGCUGUACCUGGAGGUCUUGCUGGAGAAUGUGCAGAAUCUACUCUCUGUGGGGCUUCCAGUUCCUAGAGAAAAUUUUAUCUCCUGUUUUCAGCAAGGGAAUGUAUGGCAUGGCUACUAGAUCGAAAAGGCCCAAGGAGCUGCUGUGCAGAGGCAGAGAAUAAUUUUGAAGUGAAGGAGAUGUCUACAAAGCUGAGCCUUUUUGUGAAAGGAUCUGGCCCCAAAAGAUGCAUGACUAAGGAGCUCCAUGACUUUAUUUUGAGAGAAAUCUGUGCCCCUAAUAUCAAGGUAAAUAAAAAUCCAAAGAGUGACA
RNAcentral lists this long non-coding RNA (797 nucleotides) under Monodelphis domestica (gray short-tailed opossum). RNAcentral's name for it is "lncRNA (ENSMODG00000044873.1)". The record is from RNAcentral. Lineage: Eukaryota; Metazoa; Chordata; Mammalia; Didelphimorphia; Didelphidae.